CCUCAAGAUGAGUGCUCUCCUA
RNAcentral lists this ribosomal RNA (22 nucleotides) under Conocephalum conicum. Its description in RNAcentral is "partial 23S ribosomal RNA". Lineage: Eukaryota; Viridiplantae; Streptophyta; Marchantiopsida; Marchantiales; Conocephalaceae. The record is from RNAcentral. RNAcentral also lists the same sequence under 2 other names.